GCUGGGCGUGGUGGCGGGCGCCUGUAAUCCCAGCUACUCAGGAGGCUGAGGCAGGAGAAUUGCUUGAACCCGGGAGGCGGAGGUUGCAGUGAGCCAAGAUUGCGCCACUGCACUCCAGCCUGGGCAACAGAGCAAGACUCUGUCUCAA
This 148-nucleotide signal recognition particle RNA is filed under the name Pan troglodytes (chimpanzee). Its description in RNAcentral is "Metazoan signal recognition particle RNA". It matches the Rfam family "Metazoan signal recognition particle RNA". Rfam says of the family: The signal recognition particle (SRP) is a universally conserved ribonucleoprotein. It is involved in the co-translational targeting of proteins to membranes. The eukaryotic SRP consists of a 300-nucleotide 7S RNA and six proteins: SRPs 72, 68, 54, 19, 14, and 9. The record is from Rfam by way of RNAcentral. Lineage: Eukaryota; Metazoa; Chordata; Mammalia; Primates; Hominidae.